GGGGGGGUGUGGUAUAUUCAUAAACCAUACAUCACCAUACUUCAAAUGCAAAAACUAUUAUCCAUACAACUCACAUAAACUUCAUUAACAUGUGGAGUUAAUUACUUUAUUUAUAAAUAUAUUACAAAAAAGAAAAAGAAAAAAAAAAACUGUUCAAUAUCUCAACCUAGCCUCUGCUGAAGAUGAACUUUUAGGGCCUACCAUUGAAUUGUCCAAGCUGGCUAUGCUCUUCCCUGCUUAGCGAUUACUUGGAAGAUAAGUGAGAUUGGGAGCAUUUCAUCUAAGCAAGCAUCAUACAAAAAUAACAUGUCAUAUGCACUCUGCUCUCAUAUAUACUUGAAUCUGUCCUAACCAUCCAAUUACCACCACAUCAUUGAUCAAGUAUAUAUUGAAGAACAUAGCCUCAGGUGGACAACCAUGAAGAGCCAAUCAUCAAACAUCAAAUAGAAGAGAAGAUAACCUCAUCCUCAACAAAGACACUGCAAAUUACCUCUAAUCUCGGCUUAAACCAAACCCCUAUAAACAGGGAGAGAACUCACCAAGUUUAGUCUAAAGCCUUACAACUCUAGAACUCAUGCUUACCCAACUUGGAACAUCUUACACACUUUUAGCCUACCCAAGUAUUAGGUUGUCAGUGAAAAUAACCUAAGUUAAUGGUAUGGCAUUUGGAACCAAGAAUGAUAGUGUUUAUAUGGAUAAUGUGUCUAUUUAUUAUAUAUUUUCCCUAGAUCAAACCAAAGGCUGCAGCUAUGUCUCGUUGCAAAUGCAGUGUUAACUGAAUCUCCAACAAUCCAAUUACAUACUAUAAAAGAGUUUCCUUGAUCUGUAAAUGCCUGGAGUUUAAUUAUGCUUACAAUGAUGUCACUGGGAGGGAGCUGGUAGUGACUGUUGAGGUCAGUCUUUUUAUUCUUUUUCUAUGGUUACCCUUUUCCAAAAUCUGCCCAGGCCCAAAUGAGGACAUAGCGAGACGAGAAAUCUGAGAUCAUUGAUGUGCAUAAGAUUUUAUUGGUGUCCCAUUAAAAGAGAAAAAAAGGGCCAAUCAAAAGCUGGACCAAGUUAUUCUUUCUGGAACUGAAAGUGAUCUUUUUCUGGUUAGAUUUAGUUAACCCAGUCAAUAUUUGUUUUUCAUAACUGGUGAAUGUUAUGUAGCUUUUCUGGUAAUGCAGUUUGAUCUAAUAGAUAAAGUCAUGCAAUAAUAUCAUAAAACUCGGGUAUCCUUGGGCAUUAGCAUCACUUAUGGUGUCCCUGGAAUUGAUAUUGAUGAAUUCUUUCGCCAGUAGAUUUAUUAACUCCUACUUAUUAGUUUAGUUCUUUAUGUUGUUGUUGUUGUUGUUGUUUUGGUGGGUUCAGAUUAUCUGCAAGGGAUUUUACC
This 1372-nucleotide unclassified non-coding RNA is filed under the name Hevea brasiliensis (rubber tree). The record is from RNAcentral. Lineage: Eukaryota; Viridiplantae; Streptophyta; Magnoliopsida; Malpighiales; Euphorbiaceae.